AGCACAGGCAGAGCAUCGGAUGCUCUGCCUCACUGCCAGGCUCCAAUCCUGGGGGAGCGAUCACUCGGAAGCCUGGUAGUCAAGGGGGGUAUUGCACAAUGCCUCGACAUUGAGGAAUCGCUGCAAUACCGCUAGAGCGGUAAUUAGCUUAAGGAUUGUUUUUCUUUGGACUUACCUGAUAUGCACAUUUUCAAUCUGAUCUAGAAACACAAAUUUCAAAUACACAGAAAUUUCUUUCCCCAAAAGAGAUAUAUUAUUCAAAAUGUUGACUCAGAUACUUUUCUUACCUAUACAAAAUAUAAACAUAAUAUAGACUAUAAUUACCACAAAGUUCCUGGUCUUCCGUCCCUUUUUAUUGGAUAAGGAAUCCAGUUUUUAUAGAAAAGUUAAAUGAAAAAUAUCUAGAUAACUUUGAUUGUUAUGAGAAUAUUGAGUAAGAAUAAUACAGUUUAAUAGGUGAAAUAAAUUAAUACAUCUAUUCUCUAUACCAUUAUAUUGGUUUCUUUAUCUCAUUUAACUCUCACCUAUAGAUUUAACAUUCUCCAACCAGAUUUGGUGGGUGUCUAAUAUGAUAAUUAAGAAUCUGCCAUUGAUUAAUUACAUUACACUAAAUUUUACCAAAGUUCCAAUACCAGUUGUGGCUCUUGUCUUAUGAAUGAUUUUAAUUUAUUUCCAUUUC
Non-coding RNA from Pelobates cultripes (western spadefoot toad), 679 nucleotides. Lineage: Eukaryota; Metazoa; Chordata; Amphibia; Anura; Pelobatidae. The record is from the annotation of a GenBank genome assembly.